RNAcentral lists this ribosomal RNA (403 nucleotides) under uncultured bacterium. RNAcentral describes it as "bacterial SSU rRNA". It matches the Rfam family "Bacterial small subunit ribosomal RNA", at positions 355 to 775 of the family's 1533-position model. The record is from RNAcentral.
UAGGGAAUAUUAGUAAUGGGCGAAAGCCUGAACUAGCAAUGCCGCGUGUGCGAAGAAGGCCUUCGGGUUGUAAAGCACUUUUUGAGAGGAUGAGGAAGGACGGUACUCUCAGAAUAAGUCUCGGCUAACUACGUGCCAGCAGCCGCGGUAACACGUAGGAGGCGAACGUUAUCCGGAUUUACUGGGCGUAAAGCGCGUGUAGGUGGUUUGGUAAGUAGGACGUGAAAACUCCUGGCUCAACUGGGAGAGGCCGUUCUAAACUGCCGAACUAGAGGAUGGUAGAGGGAGGUGGAAUUCCGAGUGUAGCGGUGGAAUGCGCAGAUAUCCGGAGGAACACCAGUGGCGAAAGCGGCCUCCUGGACCACUCCUGACACUCAGACGCGAAAGCUAGGGUAGCAAACGG